This 563-nucleotide ribosomal RNA is filed under the name uncultured bacterium. RNAcentral describes it as "partial 16S ribosomal RNA". It matches the Rfam family "Bacterial small subunit ribosomal RNA", at positions 355 to 911 of the family's 1533-position model. The record is from RNAcentral.
UGGGGAAUUUUGGACAAUGGGGGAAACCCUGAUCCAGCCAUCCCGCGUGUGCGAUGAAGGCCUUCGGGUUGUAAAGCACUUUCGGCAGGAAAGAAACGUCGCGGGUUAAUACCCCGCGGAACUGACGGUACCUGCAGAAUAAGCACCGGCUAACUACGUGCCAGCAGCCGCGGUAAUACGUAGGGUGCAAGCGUUAAUCGGAAUUACUGGGCGUAAAGCGUGCGCAGGCGGUUCGGAAAGAAAGAUGUGAAAUCCCAGAGCUUAACUUUGGAACUGCAUUUUUAACUACCGGGCUAGAGUGUGUCAGAGGGAGGUGGAAUUCCGCGUGUAGCAGUGAAAUGCGUAGAUAUGCGGAGGAACACCGAUGGCGAAGGCAGCCUCCUGGGAUAACACUGACGCUCAUGCACGAAAGCGUGGGGAGCAAACAGGAUUAGAUACCCUGGUAGUCCACGCCCUAAACGAUGUCAACUAGCUGUUGGGGUCUUCGGACCUUGGUAGCGCAGCUAACGCGUGAAGUUGACCGCCUGGGGAGUACGGUCGCAAGAUUAAAACUCAAAGGAAUU